Long non-coding RNA from Cyprinus carpio carpio, 462 nucleotides. NCBI's taxonomy places the organism in Eukaryota, Metazoa, Chordata, Actinopteri, Cypriniformes, Cyprinidae. The record is from Ensembl.
CUGACACUGUUGCGUUCUCAGGAGAGAAGUGCAGGAGAUCCCGGAAAUUAUGGAGCAUCAAAUGUUUGGCGCGGAUAGCGGAGGUAAUGGAAAUAAUGAAAAUAGAAGACAAGUAUCGAAUAUGUGUUUGAAUCUGACAGUGAAAAGGGAAAUCUUCUCGCAAAAAGAAGGAACAUAAGAAUAAGGGAUGUUUGAAGUGUUACACUCAGCCAACAGAAGCAUGUGGACAGACAUUGACUGUAAUGAUGGACAUCUGCUGAAGCACAGGCAGAAGUAUAACCCCUGCUGGACAUUGUGCUGGAACUCGGGGAGGACACCAUGAUCCCCCACACCUUCUCACUCACACCAGACCAUUCACUCAUAUCACAGAGAUCUGGCUGGACUUGAACCAGCAACCUCUGAAACCAUGAGGCAGCGCUCUUACCUCUGAGCCACAGAUCUCAUGUCUGAACAUGUGGAGGA